UGAACGCUGGCGGCGUGCCUAAUACAUGCAAGUCGAGCGAACGGACGAGAAGCUUGCUUCUCUGAUGUUAGCGGCGGACGGGUGAGUAACACGUGGAUAACCUACCUAUAAGACUGGGAUAACUUCGGGAAACCGGAGCUAAUACCGGAUGAUAUUUUGAACCGCAUGGUUCCAAAGUGAAAGACGGUCUUGCUGUCACUUAUAGAUGGAUCCGCGCUGCAUUAGCUAGUUGGUAAGGUAACGGCUUACCAAGGCAACGAUGCAUAGCCGACCUGAGAGGGUGAUCGGCCACACUGGAACUGAGACACGGUCCAGACUCCUACGGGAGGCAGCAGUAGGGAAUCUUCCGCAAUGGGCGAAAGCCUGACGGAGCAACGCCGCGUGAGUGAUGAAGGUCUUCGGAUCGUAAAACUCUGUUAUUAGGGAAGAACAUAUGUGUAAGUAACUGUGCACAUCUUGACGGUACCUAAUCAGAAAGCCACGGCUAACUACGUG
Molecule: ribosomal RNA, 495 nt
Filed under: uncultured bacterium
Lineage: Bacteria
Description: partial 16S ribosomal RNA
Rfam family: Bacterial small subunit ribosomal RNA
Source: RNAcentral